RNAcentral lists this ribosomal RNA (483 nucleotides) under uncultured bacterium. RNAcentral's name for it is "partial 16S ribosomal RNA". It matches the Rfam family "Bacterial small subunit ribosomal RNA", at positions 28 to 507 of the family's 1533-position model. The record is from RNAcentral.
AUUGAACGCUGGCGGCAUGCUUUACACAUGCAAGUCGAACGGCAGCGCGGGCUUCGGCCUGGCGUCGUGUGGCCAACGGGUGAGUAAUGCAUCCGAACGUGCCCAGUCGUGGGGGAUAGGCCGGCGACAGCCGGCUUAAUCCCGCAUCCGACCUGAGGGUGAACGCGGGGGUUCGAAAGGCCUCGCGCUAUUUGCUCGGCCGUUGUGGGGUUUGCUCGUUGCUGGGGUAAAGGCUUACCAAGGCGGCGUUCCGUGGCUGCUCUGGGAGGACGACCAGCAACACUGGGACUGAGACACGGCCCAGACUCCAACGGGAGGCAGCGUAGGGAAAUUUUGGACAAUGGCGGCAACCCUGAGCCAGCCAGGCGGGUGGCGGGAAGAAGGCCUUCGGGUGGUAAACCGCUUUUGUUCGGGAAGAAAUCCGCUGAGGUAAUACCCCGGGGGAUGACGGUACCGGAAGAAUAAGCACCGGCUAACUACGUG